RNAcentral lists this ribosomal RNA (498 nucleotides) under uncultured bacterium. Its description in RNAcentral is "partial 16S ribosomal RNA". It matches the Rfam family "Bacterial small subunit ribosomal RNA", at positions 30 to 523 of the family's 1533-position model. The record is from RNAcentral.
AUUGAACGCUGGCGGCAGGCCUAACACAUGCAAGUCGAGCGGUUGAGAUAGCUUGCUAUCGAUGCAGCGGCGAACGGGUGAGUAAUGCAUGGGAAUCUGCCUGGUAGUGGGGGACAACGUUUCGAAAGGAACGCUAAUACCGCAUACGCCCUACGGGGGAAAGGGGGGGAUCUUCGGACCUCUCGCUAUCAGAUGAGCCCAUGCCGGAUUAGCUAGUUGGGGGGGUAAAGGCCCACCAAGGCGACGAUCCGGAGCUGGUCUGAGAGGAUGCUCAGCCACACUGGAACUGAGACACGGUCCAGACUCCUACGGGAGGCAGCAGUGGGGAAUAUUGGACAAUGGGGGCAACCCUGAUCCAGCCAUGCCGCGUGUGUGAAGAAGGCCUUAGGGUUGUAAAGCACUUUCAGUGGGGAGAAAGGUGGUUCACCUAAUACGUGAGCCAAUUGAUGCUACCCACAGAAGAAGCACCGGCUAACUCCGUGCCAGCAGCCGCGGUAA